RNAcentral lists this microRNA (22 nucleotides) under Malus domestica (apple). Its description in RNAcentral is "mdm-miR5225a". Lineage: Eukaryota; Viridiplantae; Streptophyta; Magnoliopsida; Rosales; Rosaceae. The record is from miRBase by way of RNAcentral.
UCUGUCGAAGGUGAGAUGGUGC